This 495-nucleotide ribosomal RNA is filed under the name uncultured bacterium. RNAcentral's name for it is "partial 16S ribosomal RNA". It matches the Rfam family "Bacterial small subunit ribosomal RNA", at positions 28 to 507 of the family's 1533-position model. The record is from RNAcentral.
GACGAACGCUGGCGGCGUGCCUAAUACAUGCAAGUAGAACGCUGAAGGAGGAGCUUGCUCUUCUGGAUGAGUUGCGAACGGGUGAGUAACGCGUAGGUAACCUGCCUGGUAGCGGGGGAUAACUAUUGGAAACGAUAGCUAAUACCGCAUAACAGCAGAUGUUGCAUGACAUUUACUUAAAAGGUGCAAUUGCAUCACUACCAGAUGGACCUGCGUCGUAUUAGCUAGUUGGUGGGGUAACGGCUCACCAAGGCGACGAUACAUAGCCGACCUGAGAGGGGGAUCGGCCACACUGGGACUGAGACACGGCCCAGACUCCUACGGGAGGCAGCAGUAGGGAAUCUUCGGCAAUGGACGGAAGUCUGACCGAGCAACGCCGCGUGAGUGAAGAAGGUUUUCGGAUCGUAAAGCUCUGUUGUAAGAGAAGAACGAGUGUGAGAGUGGAAAGUUCACACUGUGACGGUAUCUUACCAGAAAGGGACGGCUAACUACGUG